GGCCGGUGCGGCGCGGCCUGCGCCGCGGCGGCUACUCACAGCAGGUCGGGCCGGUGCCGGUGGAGGAUGGCGCAGAAGGCCAGGCCGUCGCGGAAGGAGGAGCUGAGGAGUAGAGAACGGCAUCCUGUCCCUGGAGGAGACAAGAAGUCUGUGGUGUGGGGAUCUGGCAGGAUUGCGCAGGCUGGAACCAGCCACUCUUUGGUGUUCGGCCCCUGGACCAAUAUCAAGAUCCUGCAUCAGGCAAAGGCAUUUCCACUGGAGCACAGCAAAUGUUGAGUUUACUGCUGCUGGUCCCAAAUCAACAGGUCCUGCAGAGCCCUAAGCUUCCCCAUAUGUCUUCUACAGAGCUACACGAUUCUCCUGCCCAGAUCUCACCUCCUCAAACUUGUGGAUCUGGCGGAUGAAGAAGUCCCCAUAGCGUCGAGCAACCUUUGUAUCUGCAAUGUGGAUCAUAUCCUGUGGAGGGAACAGCAUUAAGUCAGGAGACUGACAGGGCUAGUAGGGAGACAGCAACCCCUGUCAAAUGGGAGGAGCAACCAAAGGAGCUUCACUCCAGCCCUGAUUCAGCACCAAUCACGUGCCUGACCUGUACUAGUUCUAGAGCAACCUCAUUCAGUUCCCUUUGGACUGCCUUCCCUUUACCCUUCCCUGUGAUGUGUCCCGAAUUCACACUGUAUUCACUUCUCAUGUUCUUAAGUCUCUCCAUCUAAGUUCAGCCCUCUUUGCAGCAGUCUGACAUGCUUUGUCAAACUUCAUCAGCCUUGAUUCGUGCUCUGCUUCCUUCUACUAACCGGUAAGAGCAGCACCAUCUACUAGGAGAGCUGGAUUUGCAGUGCAAGUCAAUCAGUCACAGGUCAGUUUGGUUCAGGAGAACAGGGAAGACAAAGCAUGAAUGAGGCCUUGCAGGAAGAGGUCUGCUCUAAGGACCACAAACCUGGAACAAUUAGUCCUCCUUGUCUGGCAGACAGCAAGAAACCUAAUGCUGCUAUCCUCUUUGAGGAAUGAAAACAACAUCCUAAAAGACUUUCCUACAGCCUUCUACACUGUUCCGAGCUCUAAGACCAGGCUGGUGACUACAUCAUAUCUUGAGUUUAGGUUCCCAGCAGAGAAGACAGGGCUAAAUGCCGCUCCAGUGAAAAAUGGAGGCACAACAUGGCCAGCUGAGAUACCUCAUUUGUUAAGUAAAGGAGAGAUGUGGUGGAGAUCUACAAAGCUGACAAUCCCACCUGAUACACUGACAGCACAACCUGUCACCCAACUAUCAUCUCCCGAGAGCAGACAAAUGGCUCCCUUAGCCUAGGGAAAGAUAUUUAGGAACUUUUUAUUUUUCCCUUGGGUGCAACGACUGUCAUAGCUGCCUAUAUCUUCCCACCACUGUUCAUCUAUUGACACUCAUAUUAAACAGGGCUACAGCUUCAUCGUGGGCAGUCAAACCACUUCACAUGGCAAAGAAAGGGAUGUUUCCCAUAUACUGUACCCAAACCUGGCGUUACCGCUUCCAGAGCUUCCUGGGUGGAGGUGCAGGCUGGUAAGGGGCACAUACUAACCUUGUCAAUAUAGAAGUCUACCUCAGAGGCAGACUGGAACUCCCCAUCCAGGGCGGAGAUGCCACUGGUCCACACCAGGUUCUUCAUCUUAUGCUUGAAAACAAGCAGCUGGAUGCGAAACUCCUGCUCUGUGAGGUCCAAGAAGCCAGCCAGCUUGGCCACAGGCAUGGUGGUAUAGAGCUUGAGGAAGCUACGGAUGGUGGAGAGCUGGGCCUGCUGCUGAACCUCAUCAGCAAAGACCUUGAGCUGCUGCAGGAAGGGCUCCUUGUGGUAGUUGGGGUGCACGUUGUCAUAGUUGGGCACCACAGGAGAGAGGAACUUGGGGCAAGCGUAACUAAAGAGCUCUUCAUAGACUUGUGCGUCACCCUUCUGCAUGCGCAGCAUCUUAUCCCCGUAUUUCUCUCGCAGCUGCAGAUGGAUGCUUUCAUCUAUGCGCAUGGGGUACAUGGUGAGGGCGAUGGCCAAGAGUGCGUGCAUCUGCUCGUUCUGCUUGUUUAUCUGAGACAGAAAGGAGAAGCUGUUAACUAGUCAAUGUGCUCAGGCUUUAUGGUGCAUGAAAGAGCUGGGAGCUGCAUUAUUUCAGAGAGAGACCAUUUACCCAAAGCCUUGAUGGUCCUGAUGGUUAAGAGAGACAAUGCAAAAAAAACAGCACUUCUGUGCAAAGCAGAUGCACAAGUAUCAAGGCUAUCGUCAGUGAAAAAGAAAAAAAAGAGAGAAAGACAGUGGAGUGAAUGAAUCCAGAGCUAUACAGAAUCUGUAAAGGCAGAAGCAAGUUAGACUGCUUUGGUGCAAGAAAGGGCAGAGGAUUAGCUGUAACAAAGGCAGAUAAUUUAACAGCCACAUCCUAAACAGACUUGGCAAGGAACAGUUAUCAGGAAGACCACUGAGGAAAACACUAGGAAAAUCUCAGUGUGGGAUGAAAUAGACAGCUGAACAGCUAAAAUGAACACAGGAAAUUUUUGAAGCAUUGUGGAAUUAGAGAUUGUGGGAUUUGGCUAUGCAAGAAGUUAAAAUUUAAAUAUAAGGAUGAAAAGGAGAUAGUAGAAGCAAGGGACAAAUGAACAUCAGAGACAGGUUAGACAGAAAGAGACAGGAGCUUUGCUUUAGUCACACCGAGUUUAAACAGUCUGUGAAGCGUAUGACAAUGGAAGUAGGCUGAAAUGUAGAACUUGACCAGGACUGAAUCUGAAGAAACAUUGACAAGCUCACUAGCAGCUGAUAUUCAUUAACAAAGUUGCCCAGAGUGAAAGCCCAGAUGGAGCAGGAGUAAUUGAGCAUACAUAACAACCAAAGGAAUGAGUAGAACAGCCAGGAAAAAAAUCGCCACAUAUGACAAAAGAGGUCAUAGGACCCCUAGUCACCAUCAGCAGCACAGUCCAGGAAGAUAAGGGUAGACUAUUAGAUGUAGGUUAUCAGGUGACAGAGGAGAGACAGGAAAGAAGGCAGCAGCCUUUCUUUCUGGGAAAACCUAUACCUUUUCUAGCUCUUACCAUCUCGUACUUGUAGGUUGUCCUCUGAAACAUGCUCUUCGUCCUCUGGAUGUAGAGGAGGAUGUUGGCAAAGACACGGAUAGCAUCCUGGUAACGCCGCAUCAUAAGGUAGGCAAAGCCCACGUAGUAGUAGGUGGUCACCUGGCACUCAGGCACCCGAGAGUACAUGCUCUGAGAAGGAUGGAUGUUAACAACGCUAUGUUAGAGGGGAGAUAAUCACCUUUGACCUGAACAGCCCGUUACCCAGAAGCCAGCUGCCUCUGCAUCCAUUCCAGUCCCACAAAUAAAGGGAGAAGGUCACUGCAGAAUAUCUUACCUCCCACCCUUCCCUGCAAAAGCUUCCUCUUUGCGCUUUAGUUGAUCAUCUCAAUUCCUACGUUUUCCAGUUCUAGCUUCUUGCAAGUAGGACUCCUGACCUGUGCCUAAAAUUGCUUUGCUCAGUCUUGCUCCCUUUCCCUCUAUUUCAGUCUAUACCCUGUGCCAGAGAGCACAUAGGUGGAUCUGUGCCAACCUGUGUUGCAGCUGGACUUUUGAUAGCCACUAUUAUCAUAAAUCACCCAGCUCUAGGGAGAGCACUUGUAAAGUGAGUGGGCUUAGUAAGAACAAGUGGGUCAAGAAUCUUUUAAAGAAAGGAGUCAUUAACUAAGAUGGGAACAAUGUAUCCAGUUUGUACUGUGUUAUCACUUAUGGUUCAAUUAAUAUUCCCCAUAAGAAAGUUGUCUCCUGCAAACAAACCUCCUAAAAAGAUAGUCAUAUGUGCAACAACAGCAACACGCAUGCAACAAGCCAUCAUAUGGCUUGAUUUAAGUGUCAAAGCUCCAGCUGUGUUCAACAAGCACGAGAAUGGAACUAGACACUUCUUCCAGCUCCUCCUACAAACAAGUUCCUUACACCUACAACAGCUAAAAACAGCUUGUCAGCUAGAAUAUUCAUUAUGGCAAUCUUUCAGGAGCAUAUUUGAAUAAAAGCACUUGAGAAAUUUCAAAGGAAGGUUUUACAACAUGUCUUACUACCUUCUUGUUAAGCUCAAUGUUCUCCAGAACUUUGAUAGCUUGGUAAUAAUCCCCCAGUAGAGAGUGCAGACGCAACAGACCAACCAGACUGAAAUAACCCAACAUCUUGUAGAGGGAGUGGCGACCAUAUUCUCCAGCCACGCUUUCAGGAUCACCUAGAAAUAAAGAACCAUGAUGCUCUCCUCCAAAGGAGCAAGCUCUUUGUUCACAGGAAAAGGGAGCAAGAUCUCAAGUGUAACCAUCGACACAUCUCAAAUAACAAGACCAAGAUAACCCUCUUCCCAACAUAUCCACUAAGGGUUUGAUCCAGCUCCCAAAGAAAGCCAGAGCUUGGUCAAACCAAAGCAAUGCAGAACAGACACCAGUCUUGCCUGCUGUCACCCAGCUACCUCACCUCCACUAGUAUAGACCUCCAGCUGUCGAUUGAUGUUGGACUUGUCCACCAGAGAGUGCAGCACGUUAAGGACACUGUGGACAUUCCAGAUCUUGGGGUUGGAUCGAAGGAAAUCAAUUUCUUCUUCGGACUUCUUAGCUGUCUUGCAGCGGUAUUGGCUGAAGGACUGAAACUAUGGGAAAAAGAAAAGAAGAUAUUUGCUAAUGAGAAGCUAGUAUGGAAAUGUUCAUCUACGUGCACCUGGAUGAUAAGUUGAUCAUGCAAAUGCAGUACAAUAAACUACAGGUCACAUUAAAGAGUCUUAAUUUGAGAUCACCUGGCAACCAAGAAGGUAAAUAUACCAGCAUUAAAGGGACUUGCGAAAAUUUGAUAAAGUGCAGAGACAGUCUGAGGCCAAAAAAUAGAACCAAGAUGUGAAGGAUCUCUAGACAACUAGGCUGGGCAACAGGGCAUAAAUUUGCUGUCUGAUGAGGUAGCAAAGAGAGUCACCAAGUAAAUACGAUGUAUCUGUAUAUGCACACAUCUCUUUCUACAUAAGCUUGAGAAGACCGCACUUGAGAUACUGUGAGGAAUUCCAAGCACCUCUAUGAUAGAGGUUAUAGAGAAGGGAAUUUACAGAGGAAAAAAGAGAAAAAAAACAUUUAAGAUCUAAAUUACUGCACUUAGAACAAUAAGUGGAAAAAUAUUCCCUAACAUCAAAAUCUCAGACUGUGGAUUAUUUCAAAUAAGGACAGUAAUCUCUCAGUGCAAGCAUAAAGGUCCCAGUGCCUAAGAAAUACAAAGCUAGAGUAAAACCAUAGAACACAAUAGAACUAGUGUGAACAAGUAUCUUAAUAGGAUCUUUAUGAUUAUAGCAGAUUUCAGUCAGGUGGCUUUGCAAAACUCAAGCAGAGAUGAAGGCGAGUUUAAAAAAAAAACAAAAAAAACCAACAACAAACUAGUAUAAAUGUCACAAACAAAUGUCAAUAGCGGCCCAGGGCUCCUCAAACACUGCCCAGUAACUUAAAAAACAGCAAGUCCACAACUGCUUCAGCUACCAGGCAACCUACUAAUAAUAGUGCCUAUCAAAAGUUUAUCAACCUAUAGUGAUAUCCUAGCUACAAGAAUCACAGAGAAGGGGGAGAUGGAAAAAUCUAAUAGCUCUGACAGACCCCAGGCUUCCCCAAAAUGGCCCAGUCAUAUAGUCAUAUACCUGGUAUAUGAAUUCAUCUAUGAUAUCCCAGAGCCACUGGUUGGGCAGUUCCAGAGGAGCUGGACCAUCAGCAUCUAUAGAAGAACAUAAAUGUUCUUAAUACCUUAAGAACCUUUGUUCAUAAUACCUUAAGCAAGAAUAAUAGCUGCAGGCAUCAAAUGGAUGAAGUCUCCAGCAGGGAGAUAAUAUGCAGUUCUGGCUACCUCCAUUUUUUAAGUAUAUUAGUGUAGGGGUAUAAUCUCUGGAGUGGGACUACUAAGCAGGAGUGACUCUUAGAAGCUGCUCAGAUUCUAAAGGGUUAUCCUCAUUGAUCUAUUCUCUGUGAGAAGAGCAGCAGGAAGUCAACAUUUAAAUUUGUCCCAAGGAGAGUCAGCAACUGCAAAUAGUUGUGAAAUGCUGCAGCAAUCUUCUCCUAACUUGCGGCCUCAUUUUCUUUAUUAAUAAAGAUAAGUGUUUCCUUUUGCCAACCCUCAUUAAAACAGGAAGCGAUAUAAGUUUAUUUUAGAAGUAUUUCAGAAAGUCCUGAAAGUAUUUAGAUUUUUUGUGAUUUUUAAAAGCAUAGAUGUUAAGUGCUCUUCCUUCAACAAUCUCAAAAAUACAGAAACUUCACAGGCUGCUUCCCCUAUACGCUCUAUAACUGAACGUGUUCUAGUUCUUUUUCAACCCCCUCUUCAUCCUGCACACUCUUCCUCUCCAAAAUUCACAAACUGGAAAUGAAUUGCAGCAACUCACUGAGGAUGUAGUUGAAGAGAUUGCAAUAAUUGUAAUAGGACUCAAAUCUCUGCUCCAGAGUGGGCCCCCCCUGCAAUGAGAAGUCAAUACAAUCUGUUUAGUUUCAGACAGCAGAAAUGAAUUCAUGGGCAACAGCAUAUGAAGGACAGAUAACAAUCACAUCAGUAGAUGUUUUUUUCCAGUAAUAUUAGAGCCAAUAUCUCGAUGUUCAACCAGGCCCACAAGCACCACGCAAGAAACCUGAGAUUUUAUCACUCUUGCCCAGUACAAAAGUUCUGACUUUCCAUGUGCAGGCUGCUUUUCCUAAUACAUACAACCAAGCAUUCAAACUUCCGGCAACUGGGAUGCCUCAUUUUUCCUUGUCCUCCUCACUGCUGUACAGACUCAAGAACUUAUUACUACCCUUCACAGUUUUCCAGCCUUCUGCCCUCACGAGAAGCCUUAACAAAUCUUGACAAUUCUGCUUCUAGUCAACAGCUCCAAACUCUUUGAAAGACAAGUAAACAUGUUAAGGAAU
This is a long non-coding RNA of Rhea pennata, 6885 nucleotides long. RefSeq lists it as uncharacterized. The record is from RefSeq and is a predicted model, not a curated record. Lineage: Eukaryota; Metazoa; Chordata; Aves; Rheiformes; Rheidae. The transcript has 4 exons.